RNAcentral lists this ribosomal RNA (515 nucleotides) under uncultured bacterium. RNAcentral describes it as "partial 16S ribosomal RNA". It matches the Rfam family "Bacterial small subunit ribosomal RNA", at positions 28 to 523 of the family's 1533-position model. The record is from RNAcentral.
GAUGAACGCUGGCGGCGUGCCUAAUACAUGCAAGCCGAGCGAAUGGAUUGAGAGCUUGCUCUUAUGAAGUUAGCGGCGGACGGGUGAGUAACACGUGGGUAACCUGCCCAUAAGACUGGGAUAACUCCGGGAAACCGGGGCUAAUACCGGAUAACAUUUUGAACCGCAUGGUUCGAAAUUGAAAGGCGGCUUCGGCUGUCACUUAUGGAUGGACCCGCGUCGCAUUAGCUAGUUGGUGAGGUAACGGCUCACCAAGGCAACGAUGCGUAGCCGACCUGAGAGGGUGAUAGGCCACACGUGGACUGAGACACGGCCCGGGCUCCUACGGGAGGCAGCAGUAGGGAAUCGUCCGCAAUGGACGAAAGUCUGACGGAGCAACGCCGCGUGAGUGAUGAAGGCUUUCGGGUCGUAAAACUCUGUUGUUAGGGAAGAACAAGUGCUAGCUGAAUAAGCUGGCACCUUGACGGUACCUAACCAGAAAGCCACGGCUAACUACGUGCCAGCAGCCGCAGUAA